CCAUCGUCUGGGAUGUGAGGAGCCCCUGUGCCUGGCCACCCCAUCUGGGAAGUGAGGCGCGCCUCUGCCUGGCUGCCACCACGUCUAGGAAGUGAGGAGCGUCUCUGCCUGGCCGCCCAUCAUCUGGGAUGUGAGGAGCCCCUCUGCCUGGCCGCCCCGUCUGGGAAGUGAGGAGUGCCUCUGCCCAGUCGCCCCAUCUGGGAGGUGAGGAGCGCCUCUGCCUGGCCGCCCCGUCUGGGAGGGUUAAAUGGAUUAAGGGCGGUGCAAGAUGUGCUUUGUUAAACAGAUGCUUGAAGGCAGCAUGCUCAUUAAGAGUCAUCACCACUCCCUAAUCUCAAGUACCCAGGGACACAAACAGGGCCGAAGGCCGCAGGGACCUCUGCCUAGGAAAACCAGAGACCUUUGUUCUGGUGUUUAUCUGCUGGCCUUCUCUCCACUAUUAUCCUAUGACCCUGCCACAUCCCCCUCUCUGAGAAACACCCAAAAAUGAUCAAUAAAUACUAAAUAAAUAAAUAAAUAAAUAAACUACUUUUC
This 534-nucleotide long non-coding RNA is filed under the name Homo sapiens (human). RNAcentral's name for it is "LHRI_LNC190.1". The record is from RNAcentral. Lineage: Eukaryota; Metazoa; Chordata; Mammalia; Primates; Hominidae.